GUUUCUGUAGUGUUGCGGUUAUCACGUUCGCCUAACACGCGAAAGGUCCCUGGUUCGAAACCGGGCAGAAACA
Molecule: transfer RNA, 73 nt
Filed under: Merluccius polli (Benguela hake)
Lineage: Eukaryota; Metazoa; Chordata; Actinopteri; Gadiformes; Merlucciidae
Description: tRNA-Val
Source: RNAcentral